Molecule: long non-coding RNA, 1305 nt
Filed under: Sinocyclocheilus grahami
Lineage: Eukaryota; Metazoa; Chordata; Actinopteri; Cypriniformes; Cyprinidae
Description: lncRNA (ENSSGRG00000043954.1)
Source: RNAcentral
UGAAGGGCUAUGCAACGCAGAGUGGAGAAACACGGCGAGACAAAGCGGAAAACUGCGAUGUGACACGCGGACCAUCGAAUUUGUACAGUUGAAAGUAAAACGAAAGUACAGAGAUAGUUAACCCGAGCUGUUGUAUCGCCUACGCAAGUCAAAUCAUCUUCUGGUUUUAACUUUCGAGACGUUGAGAUUAUAGAUGGAUAUUAAGACGGGCUACAAUUCAACCCGUCGUGGAGCUAGGGUAUUAUUUGAGUGUCGCUAUCGUUCAUUUUGUUACGCUUUCAAAAUGGCGAUUUUCUCCGCUCGUCCCCCUCCCUGCCCUUCCUGAAUAGAAUGAAUGACAUUGCCCUUGACCAAUAGUACGCUUAUUGUCCGGUUUCCUCGGCGCUGAUUGGCUACAGAUGACAUAAUCGGAAUUCCAUAUGUGGGCGGGCUCUGAGCUGCGAGGGGAGAGCGGCGCACCCGGAGAUCCGACCGUGUUUGUGGACGACAGUAGGGCGCCAUUAACUCCAAAUCUCAUUAACCAUUUGAUUUAACGUUACUUGAAUCUCAGCGGAUCAGCGUUUUAGAAGAGCCCUUUCUCGGAGUUGGUUUAUAUACAAAAUUAGUUCGUGUCGCGUCACAAAAAUCGCGAGAAGAUGGCGGCGUCGACACUCCUCGCAGCACUGCGCUGGGCGCGGCGGGUCACGGGCUCUCCAGAAAACAUCGCUGUGCCCAAAACUGGAUUCAGCUCCUUGAGACUACGCCAACAGCCGUGUGCUUUAAAAUGCACGCUGACGACUAACAACCUUAAUGUGCUUUAAGCGCCGCAAACACCGGGAAUAUCGGAAAGUAGUGUUUUGGAUGCUCGGUGGUUCGUUUCAAAGAAGCGGUUAUUAUAACGAUUCGGCGACUCUCCUCCUUUUGCGUCAUGACGUAGUUACGUAGCCCCUAACAGCAGUUGAAACGGCAUGUGUGUGGACACACCUGGCUGCACAGGUUUUGCCUAUUAAGAGUCAUAUUUUUUAACAGCCGUGUGUGUUGUAAUAUCACAUCUUGUGAUUAAGUAGUUUGUUACAAUCAAGUUGAGUAAAAUUGUAUUUAUUUGUCAACUCGGUUACAUGUGCGUGUUAAUAAAACUACCACGCAAUUAAGAAUCUUGGAACCAGUUCAGCAAUAAUCUUUAAUCGAGAACUGCUAGGAAUUAACCGUCGAAAAGAUAAAACAACCUAAUCAAAAAUCAAUGUUGGCUGGCAGUGCCCAAGUUGUUCCAUUUUUUUUUUAAAUAUUAAUAUCUUGUGUGUUUUGGGAAUUCGUAAAGGUCAAGCU